Long non-coding RNA from Ornithorhynchus anatinus (platypus), 1060 nucleotides. RefSeq lists it as uncharacterized. NCBI's taxonomy places the organism in Eukaryota, Metazoa, Chordata, Mammalia, Monotremata, Ornithorhynchidae. The record is from RefSeq and is a predicted model, not a curated record. The transcript has 2 exons.
GGUUGUCAUCGCCAAAUCCCUUUGGCUCCUUCUUCCAAGUCCACCUUCACCACUGAGGAUAAUGGCCUGAUGUUACCAGAUUUGCAAUAGAGAAAGAAGCGGCCUGUGGAUCUCUUGUCAAAUCCCCUCCUGCUUCCGCCCUUCUUUCCCCAUCUAAGAUGACACACUCUGGUGCCUGGCUCUCAUCGUCUCCUCGGCUUGAUGCAAUGAAGGGUGGCUCCGAGCCCAUGAACCCGGCCCGAGGCCCCACGAGCCACCCCCUACCGCACAGGUGUGCCGGGCGGAGCGACAUUUCUGGACGGCGGCUCUGACGGGAGCUUUCUACACAUCGGGUCAAGGAGGUCACCGGCCAAGAGACCGGAUCCUGGGAGGAGGAGUCUGAGCCCCUCUUGAAAGCUAGGGCCUGAAAAUACACUGGAGCCGAUGUUCGUCUCGGUCCAGGUUGGUCUCGGUCUGGUCUCCCCAGGCCCCUUGAUCAACGCCUCAAGAUGGGGGCCAACUUGGGAAGCAGCCAACCGAACCGCGGCCGCUCCGAUGCUUCGUCUGUGCCACCCCUGAGAUUACUCCACUGGCCCUCCCCCUAGCCUGAUAUCUCCGUCCAUUCUAGCGGGUCUCCCGGCGGUGGGGGGCCUAGUUGCGAUCGGUCGGCAAAGUCCCGUUCAUCCGAUCCAGCCACCUACCUCUCUUGGGCAGGAGUCGUGGACUGCCCACGUACCAGUGUGCAAUUUGCCAGUAAAGCCUAGCCCAAGGUACUACUCUGGCCGAUGGCAUGACCCAAGGUGUGAAUUCAGGUCCCGCCACUUCUCCCUCUGCCUCAGCUUGGUUGGACACGGAACGGAGACCCUGAUGUGCUUCAAAUGCGGUCCAUCCUAGGUCAUGAGAGAAUCUAAAGUUUGGGAGCCGGUCCAUCUUCCAAGGCCAGAGCUGUGCUGGGCAAUAACUUGCUUCUGGGUCUUGGGAGUCAUCUGUGUGGAGGUGCGGGCUUAACGGCUGAAGCCCACCGUUCUCUGGCAUUGGGAAAAGCACUGGGUCAUUGGCCACUAAAGCAUGUUUGCCAGUC